GCUGGGGCAGACAUGAUGCGUCCCGACUUCUGCCUUGUAGACCAGGAGCAGAACAAAAUGGGCCUCAUGACCAGCCAUUGGGCGUCUUGGCCACAGCACCCACGGAAAGAUGUGUCAGGGUCCAGCUCUUCCUGGGAAGCCCCUCCGAAUGCUCCCGGCCAGCCUGUUUCUCUGGGAUGAGGCCCCAGCAAGGCAGAUCGCAGCCUGCAGCCGGGAGGAACUGCUAAUAUAUGGCAAGAGUCUGGAAACCAGAUUCCAAAAGGUCACGUUGGACUGGAACCAACAAGAUUACGUUGAACAGGCUGGAUGUGAACCUCCACUUUCAGAGAUUCCUGCUCCCAGCCCAGGC
RNAcentral lists this long non-coding RNA (349 nucleotides) under Homo sapiens (human). Its description in RNAcentral is "non-protein coding lnc-TMEM105-2:15". Lineage: Eukaryota; Metazoa; Chordata; Mammalia; Primates; Hominidae. The record is from RNAcentral.